RNAcentral lists this ribosomal RNA (119 nucleotides) under Musa acuminata subsp. malaccensis (wild Malaysian banana). Lineage: Eukaryota; Viridiplantae; Streptophyta; Magnoliopsida; Zingiberales; Musaceae. The record is from RNAcentral.
GGGUUCGAUCAUACCAGCACUAAAGCAUUAGAUCUCUUCAGAACUCCUAAGUCAUGUGUGCUUGGGAUAGAGUAGUGCUAGGAUGGGUGACCCCUUGGGAAGUCCUCGUGUUGCACUCU